Molecule: non-coding RNA, 563 nt
Organism: Pelobates cultripes (western spadefoot toad)
Lineage: Eukaryota; Metazoa; Chordata; Amphibia; Anura; Pelobatidae
Source: the annotation of a GenBank genome assembly
AUUAAGUGCAAUUAUUGUGCAAAGUUUUACAAAUCAAAUAAUCAGCAGUAAAAUUCCACUGGUUUCCAUGGAGACUGCUCCACGUUCAAUGGCUUACUCUGCACCAGUCUGUUCCUAAUUAGAAUUGUGUACACAUCUAGGCCUAGGUACUUUAUGAUCAGUACAUGUAUCAGGUCAUAUUUACUAUUUAAAGCAAGGAUCACAGAGCAUUACAAUUAAACAAAAGUCUGUGGACAUAUAUUUUUACUUUAGAAGCAACAUUUACUUCUACCAAUCAAUUGAUAACAUUUAUUUUUCUUACAUCCGUGACCCAAUCACAAAAUAUAUUAAUGUAGUAUUAUUUUCGGUACUUUGAGUGAAUUUUAUUCAAGCAAUGUACUAGAACACUGAAUAUAAUAUUUUAAUAGAUACUAGUUCUAGUUUCCAAAGAAACUUGUGUUGGUAUAUUUAUUAUAAAUGUUUGUUGAUUUGUUACACAUAUAAACGAUUUGCAGUCAUGUGCACUUACACUCUCACACUGUAGGGGCAGCAUGCACAAAACUCUUACAUGGAAAGAAAGAAAU